Long non-coding RNA from Grus americana (Whooping crane), 932 nucleotides. RefSeq lists it as uncharacterized. The record is from RefSeq and is a predicted model, not a curated record. The transcript has 6 exons. NCBI's taxonomy places the organism in Eukaryota, Metazoa, Chordata, Aves, Gruiformes, Gruidae.
CAUUGCCAGGAAGAAAAUGAGGUUGUGCUGGAAUCACCAGGAGGACAGACGGACUUGUGGGAGUCAAGUGGGUUUGUGCCCUCAGCGAUGGUGGCUGGAAGUCAGCUACGAGAGCUGUUAUUGCCAGCCUGCUACAACGAGAACAGUCUUGUGGUGUCUACAAGAUGGAUGAAUUUAAAAUGAUGGUUGCUCCUUCAAGAACCUGUAAACACGAAGGCCCAAAUUUCAGCCAAACUCUUCCCUUGUCUCAUGAGUGGUGACUUAGAUGAAGCCAGCUGCCUAUCCCUUUAAACACUUUUGUGAGGCGAUACAAGCAAUAAUAUGAAGCUCACUUAUGAGGCCUGCAUAAAAUGAUAACAUGAUUGACUUGCAAGAUGGCUCUGUGCCCACAGUGCCAGCACCAGGAGCUUGGAGAAGACACAGAAGGGAAGAGCUUGAAAGAAAAAUUACCUGGAAAAUCAAAUAGGUCAAGGUCUGGCCUUAAACGUGCUGAGGAAUCCUAUGAGAAGUCCUUCUCUGACCAUACUGUUUUCUUUUGCAAAGCUGGUUAUGUCUGUGGGAUUGGGCAUGAGGAAUGGUGGACUUCCAUGAGUCCAAGGGAAGGGGGGCUGUGCUGAUGGUAAAUAUCAGCGCUAUCUUUCUAAAGGCGAGGACAGUUACAGACCCACUGUUCAUUACUUUGGAUGUGUCACAUUUGCUAGUAUGACAAGAUGUAUUAUGGACGAGGAAUUUUACAGAUGGAGAGAAAUAUCCAUUGGUCAAUGUGAACGUAGAGGACUCUGACCAGUCCAAGGCACCUCCGGCUUGGAGGACUCAGAAAUAGAUGUUUUUUUGUGCUGGUCUGCAAGAGUUAUGAGCUGGAAGUACCGAGAUCCAAAACAGAGGAGGUACGCAGGAGUUACUCCGUUGCUGUCUAGUAAGGGGCAAUGUUG